GCCGGUGUAGCUUAAUCGGUAAAGCACCGGACCUUUAAUCCGGCUAUAUAGGUUCAAGUCCUGUCUCCGGCA
This 72-nucleotide transfer RNA is filed under the name Caudoviricetes sp. RNAcentral describes it as "tRNA-Lys". It matches the Rfam family "tRNA". Rfam says of the family: Transfer RNA (tRNA) molecules are approximately 80 nucleotides in length. Their secondary structure includes four short double-helical elements and three loops (D, anti-codon, and T loops). The record is from RNAcentral. Lineage: Duplodnaviria; Heunggongvirae; Uroviricota; Caudoviricetes.